This 459-nucleotide ribosomal RNA is filed under the name uncultured bacterium. RNAcentral's name for it is "partial 16S ribosomal RNA". It matches the Rfam family "Bacterial small subunit ribosomal RNA", at positions 338 to 795 of the family's 1533-position model. The record is from RNAcentral.
CCUACGGGAGGCAGCAGUGAGGAAUAUUGGUCAAUGGCCGCAAGUCUGAACCAGCCAAGUCGCGUGAGGGACGACUGCCCUAUGGGUUGUAAACCUCUUUUAUGCGGGGAUAAUAUAUGCUACGUGUAGCAUGUUGCCUGUACCUUAUGAAUAAGCAUCGGCUAACUCCGUGCCAGCAGCCGCGGUAAUACGGAGGAUGCGAGCGUUAUCCGGUUUUAUUGGGUUUAAAGGGUGCGUAGGCGGUCUUUUAAGGUUGUGGUAAAACGGCGGGGCUACACCUUGAUUUGCCAUUAAGACUGUGAGACUUGAGUGCAGACGAGGUAGGCGGAAUAAGUGAAGUAGCGGUGAAAUGCUUAGAUAUCACUUAGAACUCCGAUAGCGAAGGCAGCCUACCAUAGCGUUACUGACGCUGAGGCACGAGAGCGCGGGUAGCGAACAGGAUUAGAUACCCGAGUAGUC